RNAcentral lists this long non-coding RNA (280 nucleotides) under Selaginella moellendorffii. Its description in RNAcentral is "long non-coding RNA (SMOE_LNC000977)". The record is from RNAcentral. Lineage: Eukaryota; Viridiplantae; Streptophyta; Lycopodiopsida; Selaginellales; Selaginellaceae.
UUGGGAGUCCUCGGAGGAAUCCUUGGCAGCGUCUUUAACAAGCUCAACACUCGUGUCACCAAGUGCUACAUCUACUGGUAUCUCAGGUAAGAAACAUUUCAAGUUUUCCUGCGAGAAAUCAAACGCGGGGUUAUUCACAGAAAGCCACCAUGCGUCAAAGUUAUACAUGCCUGCUUGAUGGCCAUUCUCACGUCCGCCUGCUGCUUCUGGCUUCCAUUUCUGGUUAAGUGCAGACCCUGCCCCGAUUUAUCUGAUAUUCCAGGAUAUAAAUGUCCAACCC